Molecule: ribosomal RNA, 448 nt
Filed under: uncultured bacterium
Lineage: Bacteria
Description: bacterial SSU rRNA
Rfam family: Bacterial small subunit ribosomal RNA
Source: RNAcentral
UCGGGAAUUUUGGGCAAUGGGGGAAACCCUGACCCAGCAACGCCGCGUGAAGGAUGAAGUAUUUCGGUAUGUAAACUUCGAAAGAAUAGGAAGAAUAAAUGACGGUACUAUUUAUAAGGUCCGGCUAACUACGUGCCAGCAGCCGCGGUAAUACGUAGGGACCAAGCGUUGUUCGGAUUUACUGGGCGUAAAGGGCGCGUAGGCGGCAAUUCAAGUCAUCUGUGAAAUCUCCGGGCUUAACUCGGAACGGUCAGAUGAUACUGCUUUGCUAGAGUGCAGAAGGGGCAAUCGGAAUUCUUGGUGUAGCGGUGAAAUGCGUAGAUAUCAAGAGGAACACCUGAGGUGAAGACGGGUUGCUGGGCUGGACACUGACGCUGAGGCGCGAAAGCCAGGGGAGCAAACGGGAUUAGAUACCCGUGUAGUCCCUGAGCGGGCUGGCAAGGCGCAU